AUUGAACGCUGGCGGCAGGCCUAACACAUGCAAGUCGAACGGUAACAGGAAGCAGCUUGCUGCUUUGCUGACGAGUGGCGGACGGGUGAGUAAUGUCUGGAAACUGCCCGAAGGAGGGGGAUAACUACUGGAAACGGUAGCUAAUACCGCAUAACGUCGCAAGACCAAAGAGGGGGACCUUAGGGCCUCUUGCCAUCGGACGUGCCCAGAUGGGAUUAGCUAGUAGGUGGGGUAACGGCUCACCUAGGCGACGAGCCCUAGCUGGUCUGAGAGGAUGAGCAGCCACACUGGAACUGAGACACGGUCCAGACUCCUACGGGAGGCAGCAGUGGGGAAUAUUGCACAAUGGGCGCAAGCCUGAUGCAGCCAUGCCGCGUGUAUGAAGAAGGCCUUCGGGUUGUAAAGUACUUUCAGCGGGGAGGAAGGGAGUAAAGUUAAUACCUUUGCUCAUUGACGUUACCCGCAGAAGAAGCACCGGCUAACUCCGUG
This 489-nucleotide ribosomal RNA is filed under the name uncultured bacterium. RNAcentral's name for it is "partial 16S ribosomal RNA". It matches the Rfam family "Bacterial small subunit ribosomal RNA", at positions 30 to 507 of the family's 1533-position model. The record is from RNAcentral.